GACGAACGCUGGCGGCGUGCUUAACACAUGCAAGUCGAACGGAAAGGCCCUGCUUUUGUGGGGUGCUCGAGUGGCGAACGGGGGAGUAACACGAGAGUAACCUGCCCUUGACUUUGGGAUAACUUCAGGAAACUGGGGCUAAUACCGGAUAGGAGCUCCUGCUGCAUGGUGGGGGUUGGAAAGUCUCGGCGGUUGGGGAUGGACUCGCGGCUUAUCAGCUUGUUGGUGGGGUAGUGGCUUACCAAGGCUUUGACGGGUAGCCGGCCUGAGAGGGUGACCGGCCACAUUGGGACUGAGAUACGGCCCAGACUCCUACGGGAGGCAGCAGUGGGGAAUAUUGCACAAUGGGCGGAAGCCUGAUGCAGCAACGCCGCGUGCGGGAUGACGGCCUUCGGGUUGUAAACCGCUUUCGCCUGUGACGAAGCGUGAGUGACGGUAAUGGGUAAAGAAGCACCGGCUAACUACGUG
RNAcentral lists this ribosomal RNA (468 nucleotides) under uncultured bacterium. Its description in RNAcentral is "partial 16S ribosomal RNA". It matches the Rfam family "Bacterial small subunit ribosomal RNA", at positions 28 to 507 of the family's 1533-position model. The record is from RNAcentral.